RNAcentral lists this ribosomal RNA (499 nucleotides) under uncultured bacterium. Its description in RNAcentral is "bacterial SSU rRNA". It matches the Rfam family "Bacterial small subunit ribosomal RNA", at positions 25 to 518 of the family's 1533-position model. The record is from RNAcentral.
CAGGAUGAACGCUAGCGGCAGGCUUAACACAUGCAAGUCGAGGGGCAGCGCGAGUAGCAAUACUUGGCGGCGACCGGCGCAAGGGUGCGUAACGCGUGAGCAACAUGCCCGUAUCAGGGGGAUAAUCCAGGGAAACUUGGUCUAAUACCCCAUAGUAAUUUUGUAAGGCAUCUUAUAAGAUUUAAAGCUUUGGUGGAUACGGAUUGGCUCGCGUGACAUUAGCUGGAUGGUAAGGUAACGGCUUACCAUGGCUAUGAUGUCUAGGGGUUCUGAGAGGAAGGUCCCCCACACUGGAACUGAGACACGGUCCAGACUCCUACGGGAGGCAGCAGUGAGGAAUAUUGGACAAUGGAUGGAAAUCUGAUCCAGCCAUGCCGCGUGAAAGGAAGAAGGUCCUAUGGAUUGUAAACUUCUUUUGUAUGGGAGCAAUAAGGCCUACGAGUAGGUUGAUGAGAGUACCAUACGAAUAAGCACCGGCUAACUCCGUGCCAGCCGCUGC